GGAAGGACGUGGACGAGAUGUCCGGACGGAAGGCGUCGAUGAUGUGCUCGCGGUUGUUCUGGUCCAGCAGCAUCAGCGUCACCUGAAGGACAACAUCGACCCAAGUCGUUUGGUUUCUGGGACAUUCGGGACUAAGAAGCUGUGUGCUUUGGUGAAAUACCAACUGGAGACUUGUCUGAAACUUAAAGGUCAAGAAUUGAGAAGACUGGAAGUCCUUCGACGAUCCUACCUUCUGGCUAAAGGGCCACUUGAGCAGCGCGUCGCAGCCCCCCCGCAUGACCACGAAGAAGAGCGACAGGUGCGUCCCCCGCCCCGUGCCGUCGCCGUUCAGGUACAAACGCAGGCACAUUUUGUAGCCAUACUUGCUGGAGUAGAACGCUGAUGACAGACAAGAUGAAACGUGAUAGUCAGCCUUAAAGGAUGCCUCUGGAAUGCUCCCCGAAGGACACGGAGGGGGGAGGGACGCUGCUGGAAAUUCCCCGUGUCCACCGGGGGUCAUUUAAGACGCUAACGUGGCAACCGUUGAGCCAAAGUGAGAAACAACUUUGAGUUUUGACAGCUGAGG
Syngnathus acus (greater pipefish) is the source of this 565-nucleotide long non-coding RNA. RefSeq lists it as uncharacterized. Lineage: Eukaryota; Metazoa; Chordata; Actinopteri; Syngnathiformes; Syngnathidae. The transcript is spliced from 2 exons. The record is from RefSeq and is a predicted model, not a curated record.